UGGAACUCUUUGGUCAAUAAAGAAGUUGAUUUUAGUUUUGGAUGAUGUACAAAUACCUAUUUUCUCAAAUACUUUGAGAGUAUAGCAGAUCAUCAAAGUGUGGAACUUAGCAAUCCAGCGUCGUUGAAAGGAAUGUUUUGCGUAAACGAAGGCUUGUGAUUGAUGCUGAGUGUUGUGACUGUCAAAUUAUUAAUCUCCACUUCUGCUUUGCCUGCCUUUUGGAAAAAGAUAACCCAUCGUGCAAGCAUUGUAUGUAACUCCUGAAAGGAUUGUGGGAAACUCAUCAUUUCUCGAGAUAUUGAAACGCUUGCAUAGAAAGGUAUUGUUUCUGAUGCACCAUAACUUUUUCUAAAAGGUUCUUUGUAAACUUUUUAUUUUCGACCAUCAUGCAUUGCAGGCACAACUAGCUGGUUUUGUUGUUGAUGAGGCUCAUUGCGUGAGUCAAUGGGGACAUGAUUUUCGUCCAGAUUAUAGGGGACUGGGAUGUCUCAAGCAGAACUUUUCGUAUGUCCUAGAGAUGGCCUUAACUGCAACUGCCACUCGGUCAGUUCAUAAGGUACUAGACUUACACAUUAACCUCCUGAUUAUGUUGAAAUAAUCUGUUUGCUUUUAUUGAAGUAUACAUCCAUUGCAUGAUAUCCUAAAAGCUCUUGGGGUUCCCCAUGCUCUUGUUCUUGAGACAAGCUUUGACAGACCAAAUCUAAAAUAUGAGGUAAUAGCUAAGACCAGGGAACCACUGAAGCAACUUGGAGAGCUGCUAAAGAAUAGUUUUGCUAAUUUUUGUGGCAUAAUAUAUUGCCUUUCAAAGAGUGAAUGUGUUGAUGUCGCAAAAUACUUGAAUGAGACAACGGUGUACUAUCAUGCUAGAUUAGCAGCCCGUCAAAGAGUAGCUGUUUAAAAGAAAUGGCAUAUUGGAGAGGUCCAGAUUGUAUGUGAUACCAUUGCCUUUGGGAUGGGAAUAGACAAACCUGAUGUUGUAAGUCGAAAUGGACCCUGGCUUCUGCCUAUUUCUUAUGUUUUAGAAUCAAGCUGACGUGCUGGCAAAUACUCGGCUAAUAAACUUUUCUUCUUUUGUUUUAGCUUCACUGAUGGGUUUCAUAGUGUGCUUGAAAGUACACUUUGGUGGUUCCAUGGUCCAGUGACCUACCAAAUUUUGUCAUUCUUGGCUAUUGAUUGCAGAAACUAUUAAAUUAUGUAUGGGUUCAAGUCAAAUUCUUUCUACCAUGCAUGGAACUUUGCUGUGCUGUAAUAAAGUUAGAUUUGGUUAAAGCUCUUUUCUUUAUUGUAAAAGCGGCAAAUGACUCUGAUUUAACUUGACCUUCAGUUAUAAUAUUUUUGUCAUAUUUCGACUUGUUUUCGUUUGUUCAGCAAUUAUUUUUUUAUGGCGUGUGGUCAGCGUUUUGUCAUCCACAACAAAAUAUCCAAGUCAAUCGAAAGCUAUUAUCAAGAAUCAAAAGGGCAGGAAGAGAUAAUCUAUCGGCAGUAUGCAUUGCUCUAUAUGCCAAAACGGAUUUCAGCAAGGUUGUGUGCAUGUUAAGGAGUGGUCAAUAAUGUAAAACUGAAAUCUUUAAAACUGCAAUGGCUCAAGCUAGGAAAAUGCAGCAAUAUUGUGAACUCAAGGUAAUCCAAUUUGUGUUCUCAACUUCUCUCUAAUGAUCUCAACUAAGUGAUGCUUCUAUUUUGUGUUUCCACUUUCCACUUUGUUUUAUUGAUUAGUCUGGCAUUAACCGGUCUGGGUGCUGGAUCAUUAGAUGGGUCUGUUGGCAACAUGUUCAAAUCAUAAUGGAACCUUUGGGCUAAACUCAUAUUCCAUGUACCUGGAUGGAGCAAAGUCUAUUGACAAACGUGUGUUUACACGAAUUUGCGAAAUUUUCAGGAUGAGUAUCGGUGGCAAACCUUACUUGCACACUUUGGCAAGUCUUUGGAUUAGAAAGACUGUAAAUACGGUUCUAAUCCUUGCGACAAUUGCCUCAAAACCUCUUCAUAAAGGUAAACCUUUCAGGUGUAAACUCUCUCGAUGGGUGACAGGUACUGACUUACACAUGUUCUUGAGCCACACAGUUCUUCUGGUUCCAUCAUCUGCAAUUAUUGGAAGACCACAUGGUAAUGGAGAGGCAAAGGUCCUUAACUAAGGAUACAGAAUUCUUCAGUUGUGCUGGUCUUGUCAUCUCAUGUUUAUCUUUUCCUUUCAUCUGUUGCCAUGUUCUUUGUCUGGAACUAAUUAUUUUUGUGAGGGGAACGAAAAUGUGGCUCGACAUAUAAGCCGAAGAGGCAUAUGGGAACACACAGUCCGGUCUUGACCAAGGAAGAAAAAGUUACUUGUUUUAGUUCAGUGAAGAUUAACAAUGAAAUCCAAUUGUACAAGCA
This is a long non-coding RNA of Syzygium oleosum, 2367 nucleotides long. RefSeq lists it as uncharacterized. Lineage: Eukaryota; Viridiplantae; Streptophyta; Magnoliopsida; Myrtales; Myrtaceae. The record is from RefSeq and is a predicted model, not a curated record. The transcript has 2 exons.